AUAUACUUCUCACUUCCAUCAGUGAUCUCCCUCUUUCUCUUCACAAAUUCCCAACUCACAAAAUCUCCAAUUCCAUUUCAAAUCCCUAACUCCCAAUUCACUUCUUCUUCUCAAAUUCAUAAUUCUCAAAUCUAAACUCAACGGCACCUCUUCUCUCUUACGCCGAUUUCUUCCGUCGCGACUGUCAACCGCCAGCUCUGGAACGACGACGAGCUGGUGUCGUCGCUGCCACGCGGCAGCCUGCUCCCUGCUGCUGGAGCAGCAUCUGCUUCGAGGGUGGUUCACGGCGUCUGGUCGACGCUGGCCCGUCCCUCCGUCCAUCGGCUCGUCGUUGCUUCGCAGUCAGCGCCUCCCUCCGUUUCUCUCUCGGCUACUACACAGCGGUGCAGUACUGUUUCCCUUCCCGCCGUUGCCGCGCUGCUGAGACCUUGCCGGCAGCCUCCGCCGGCGUGUUUGCUUCCGCCACCGCUCGUGAGCCAGGCCGCUUCGCCGGGUGGGGUUGGAAACCUUGGGCUGCCAUGUUGCUUCCGAGACCUGGGCCCGCUGCCUUCGGCCCGACGGGCUGAUCGAAACGGCCGUGGAGUCUCGAGGGUUGGGCUGGUGAAAACGAGGCCCAAUAUGCAUGCUUUUGUAAUAGUAUUCAUGUUUCAUCAUUUUCCAUAUUUUUUUGUAAGUUAAUGGAGUUUGUGAUGUAUACAUUUAUUCGAACACCUUGUUCGGAAGAGGCGUCUUCGUAUUCUUUCACCAUAUGCAUUAUAAUUCAUAACCGUUCAUUUGAUUGUUUU
Molecule: long non-coding RNA, 785 nt
Organism: Salvia splendens (bonfire salvia)
Lineage: Eukaryota; Viridiplantae; Streptophyta; Magnoliopsida; Lamiales; Lamiaceae
Exons: 2
Source: RefSeq, a predicted model, not a curated record